Molecule: ribosomal RNA, 407 nt
Filed under: uncultured prokaryote
Also listed under: 1 other name
Description: bacterial SSU rRNA
Rfam family: Bacterial small subunit ribosomal RNA
Source: RNAcentral
UGAGGAAUAUUGGGCAAUGGAGGAAACUCUGACCCAGCAACGCCGCGUGAAUGAUGAAGGUCUUCGGAUUGUAAAGUUCUGUGAUGGGGGACGAAGAAAGUGACGGUACCCCAAUAGCAAGCCACGGCUAACUACGUGCCAGCAGCCGCGGUAAUACGUAGGUGGCAAGCGUUAUCCGGAAUGACUGGGCGUAAAGGGUGCGUAGGUGGCGAUACAAGUUAGUAGUGAAAUUCCGGGGCUCAACCUCGGCGCUACUACUAAGACUGUAUUGCUUGAGUGCAGGAGAGGUAAGCGGAAUUCCUAGUGUAGCGGUGGAAUGCGUAGAUAUUAGGAAGAACACCAGUGGCGAAGGCGGCUUACUGGCCUGUAACUGACACUGAGGCACGAAAGCGUGGGGAGCAAACAGG